GACGAACCGAGCGAACGUUAUUCGGAGUCACUGGGCUUAAAGGGCGCGUAGGCGGGCGGUCAAGUCAGGGGUGAAAGCCCCCAGCUCAACUGGGGAAGUGCCUUUGAUACUGGUCGUCUCGAGGGGGAUAGGGGCGUGCGGAACUUCCGGUGGAGCGGUGAAAUGCGUAGAUAUCGGAAGGAACACCGGUGGCGAAAGCGGCGCGCUGGAUCCCUUCUGACGCUGAGGCGCGAAAGCCAGGGGAGCGAACGGG
Molecule: ribosomal RNA, 253 nt
Filed under: uncultured bacterium
Lineage: Bacteria
Description: partial 16S ribosomal RNA
Rfam family: Bacterial small subunit ribosomal RNA
Source: RNAcentral